CCGACCGACCGACACACCUCGAGCAACGAACCCCAAGAGGGCCCCACAAUGGCACCGGAGCGGCGGGAGUGGGUCUUGCCGCGUCGUCGUCGUCGUCAGCGGAGGACCCGUCGUCUCGGAGGAUCGCCGCUCGACGCCGUCCAUGCGUGGAGCUUCGGCGUGUCACACCGAUACUAGCACCUGCUCGACAAAACGACGCCGCACGUCCUCCAACGCUGGCUCGCAACCCUUGGCGUGGCCUUGGUCUACGUCCUCCGCGUCUACUUCGUC
Molecule: long non-coding RNA, 270 nt
Filed under: Rosa chinensis
Lineage: Eukaryota; Viridiplantae; Streptophyta; Magnoliopsida; Rosales; Rosaceae
Description: sRNA RchiOBHm_Chr4g0411371
Source: RNAcentral